UUUGUAUUACAAGCGGAAAUUGUUACCAUUUUCGGCUCAAAAAUGGUAACAAUUUCCGCACGUAAUACAAA
RNAcentral lists this microRNA precursor (71 nucleotides) under Paramuricea clavata. The record is from RNAcentral. Lineage: Eukaryota; Metazoa; Cnidaria; Anthozoa; Malacalcyonacea; Plexauridae.